AUGGAAUGAUUGUUAGAUGUACAUGUCUGUCUGGCAGGUAUCAUCUGUCCUUGACAUCAUUUUCAUGGUUCAUUGGGGAAUGUUAAGUAUUUUCUGUUAAGGUCUCUUUUUCAAAUACUUAUAACAUAGAUCAUCUAUGUUUGGUGUGUGAAAUAAAUGUAAGCUGUUCAUGUCUCUCUUGUAUGUAUCAUCUGACCUUGAC
Molecule: long non-coding RNA, 202 nt
Filed under: Mytilus galloprovincialis (Mediterranean mussel)
Lineage: Eukaryota; Metazoa; Mollusca; Bivalvia; Mytilida; Mytilidae
Source: RNAcentral